UGUUUUAGUAGUAUAUUUAUUACACUACCUUUUCGAGGUAGAGAAGGAAGACAUUCUCUAAAAUAA
This 66-nucleotide transfer RNA is filed under the name Lactiforis takii. RNAcentral describes it as "tRNA-Glu". The record is from RNAcentral. Lineage: Eukaryota; Metazoa; Mollusca; Gastropoda; Amphibolidae.